UACAGAGGGUGCAAACGUUGUUCGGAAUCACUGGGCGUAAAGCGGGUGUAGGCGGCAAGGCAAGUCGGAUGUGAAAUCCCAGGGCUCAACCCUGGAAGUGCACUCGAAACUGCCUAGCUAGAGUCCUGGAGAGGAAGGUGGAAUGCUUGGUGUAGAGGUGAAAUUCGUAGAUAUCAAGCGGAACACCGGUGGCGAAGGCGGCCUUCUGGACAGUGACUGACGCUGAGACCCGAAAGCGUGGGGAGCAAAC
This 250-nucleotide ribosomal RNA is filed under the name uncultured bacterium. Its description in RNAcentral is "partial 16S ribosomal RNA". It matches the Rfam family "Bacterial small subunit ribosomal RNA", at positions 524 to 773 of the family's 1533-position model. The record is from RNAcentral.